This is a long non-coding RNA of Suricata suricatta (meerkat), 677 nucleotides long. RefSeq lists it as uncharacterized. Lineage: Eukaryota; Metazoa; Chordata; Mammalia; Carnivora; Herpestidae. The record is from RefSeq and is a predicted model, not a curated record. The transcript has 3 exons.
ACAUGCCUUAAUCUGAGCCCUCACCAUUAGCAAGGACAAGCAAUUCAGUCGACUCCUGGUACUCCUUUGCUACUGUACACAUACAUGGGGUAGUCUACAAAGAAAGUCCAUGGCAGGGAAGACCAUCAAAAACAAGGAGGAAAUACUAAAGCUCCUCGAGGCCAUCAGGCUUCCAAAAGAAGUUACCAUUCCACACUGCAAAGGACACCAGAAGGAGGACAACCCUACAGCAUGAGGAAAUCGUCUAGCAAAUAAAGCAGCCAAGGUAUCACCCCAUGGGUCCACCAUUCCAGAGUGCAGAUGGCCAAUCCUGAGGAGCCCCAGACUUGGAAGACUGACCUGAGUCUUAUCUUCAGCCCUGCUCCAGCCACACCCCGGAAGCUGGCUGGUCUAUGUACUGCAGAAGCUUGAAGAAUCACCAGUCAGAUAAAAUGUCUUUACUCUUCGCCACUGAAUUGUCAGAGGUUGCCCCAGAAAGUUGGGGAAACAGCAAGAGGUUCCUGUUCACGCUUACCUUUCUUUUAUGGACAGGAUGUUCUGUUGGUUUUCCUUCCCACCCUGCCUGCCAUGUGAACAGACUAUAAAUUGCCCCCUCUGCUUCUGCUCAGAACUCAGACCUCUGGAGAAUGAUCUCCACUGAGUCCACCAGUGUAAAAUAAACCUCCUGCCUUCCAUGA